AAAGGCAAAAGAGAGCUUGAUUGCAAGACAUACAGGUCGAGCAAGGAUGAAAAUCGGACUUAGUGAUCCGGUGGUUCUGCGUGGAAGGGCCAUCGCUCAACGGAUAAAAGCUACCCUGGGGAUAACAGGCUUAUCUCCCCCAAGAGUCCACAUCGACGGGGAGGUUUGGCACCUCGAUGUCGGCUCAUCACAUCCUGGGGCUGUAGUAGGUCCCAAGGGUUGGGCUGUUCGCCCAUUAAAGUGGUACGCGAGCUGGGUUCAGAACGUCGUGAGACAGUUCGGUCCCUAUCCGUCGCAGGCGUAGGAAAUUUGAGAAGACCUGUCCUUAGUACGAGAGGACCGGGAUGGACGUACCUCUGGUGUACCAGUUGUCCUGCCAAGGGCAUGGCUGGGUAGCUAUGUACGGAAUGGAUAAGCGCUGAAAGCAUCUAAGCGCGAAGCCAACUUCAAGAUAAGAUUUCCCACCGCAAGGGUAAGACCCCAGAAAGACUAUCUGGUUGAUAGGUCGAAGGUGUAAGUG
RNAcentral lists this ribosomal RNA (520 nucleotides) under Clostridioides difficile. RNAcentral's name for it is "partial 23S ribosomal RNA". It matches the Rfam family "Bacterial large subunit ribosomal RNA", at positions 2353 to 2875 of the family's 2925-position model. Lineage: Bacteria; Bacillati; Bacillota; Clostridia; Peptostreptococcales; Peptostreptococcaceae. The record is from RNAcentral.